AGCGCAUACGGUGGAUGCCUUGGCAGUCAGAGGCGAUGAAAGACGUGGUAGCCUGCGAUAAGCUUUGGGGAGUCGGCAAACAGACUGUGAUCCAGAGAUCUCUGAAUGGGGGAACCCACUCAGCAUAAGCUGAGUAUCUUGUACUGAAUACAUAGGUGCAAGAGGCGAACCAGGGGAACUGAAACAUCUAAGUACCCUGAGGAAAAGAAAUCAACCGAGAUUCCCUUAGUAGUGGCGAGCGAACGGGGACCAGCCCUUAAGUUGGUUUGAGAUUAGUGGAACGCUCUGGAAAGUGCGGCCAUAGUGGGUGAUAGCCCCGUACACGAAAAUCUCUUAUCAAUGAAAUCGAGUAGGACGGAGCACGAGAAACUUUGUCUGAACAUGGGGGGACCAUCCUCCAAGGCUAAAUACUACUGACUGACCGAUAGUGAACCAGUACCGUGAGGGAAAGGCGAAAAGAACCCCGGAGAGGGGAGUGAAAUAGAACCUGAAACCGUAUGCGUACAAGCAGUGGGAGCCUACUUUGUUAGGUGACUGCGUACCUUUUGUAUAAUGGGUCAGCGACUUAUAUUCAGUGGCGAGCUUAACCGAAUAGGGGAGGCGUAGCGAAAGCGAGUCUUAAUAGGGCGUUUAGUCGCUGGGUAUAGACCCGAAACCGGGCGAUCUAUCCAUGGGCAGGUUGAAGGUUAGGUAACACUGACUGGAGGACCGAACCGACUACCGUUGAAAAGUUAGCGGAUGACCUGUGGAUCGGAGUGAAAGGCUAAUCAAGCUCGGAGAUAGCUGGUUCUCCUCGAAAGCUAUUUAGGUAGCGCCUCAUGUAUCACUGUAGGGGGUAGAGCACUGUUUCGGCUAGGGGGUCAUCCCGACUUACCAAACCGAUGCAAACUCCGAAUACCUACAAGUGCCGAGCAUGGGAGACACACGGCGGGUGCUAACGUCCGUCGUGAAAAGGGAAACAACCCAGACCGUCAGCUAAGGUCCCAAAGUCAUGGUUAAGUGGGAAACGAUGUGGGAAGGCUUAGACAGCUAGGAGGUUGGCUUAGAAGCAGCCACCCUUUAAAGAAAGCGUAAUAGCUCACUAGUCGAGUCGGCCUGCGCGGAAGAUGUAACGGGGCUCAAACCAUGCACCGAAGCUACGGGUAUCAUCGUAUGAUGAUGCGGUAGAGGAGCGUUCUGUAAGCCUGUGAAGGUGAGUUGAGAAGCUUGCUGGAGGUAUCAGAAGUGCGAAUGCUGACAUGAGUAACGACAAUGCGAGUGAAAAACUCGCACGCCGAAAGACCAAGGUUUCCUGCGCAACGUUAAUCGACGCAGGGUUAGUCGGUCCCUAAGGCGAGGCUGAAAAGCGUAGUCGAUGGAAAACAGGUUAAUAUUCCUGUACUUCCAGUUAUUGCGAUGGAGGGACGGAGAAGGUUAGGCCAGCCUGGCGUUGGUUGUCCAGGUUUAAGGUGGUAGGCUGAAAUCUUAGGCAAAUCCGGGAUUUCAAGGCCGAGAGCUGAUGACGAGUUGCCUUUAGGCGACGAAGUGGUUGAUACCAUGCUUCCAAGAAAAGCUCCUAAGCUUCAGAUAACUGGGAACCGUACCCCAAACCGACACAGGUGGUUAGGUAGAGAAUACCAAGGCGCUUGAGAGAACUCGGGUGAAGGAACUAGGCAAAAUGGCACCGUAACUUCGGGAGAAGGUGCGCCGGCGAGGGUGAAGGACUUGCUCCGUAAGCCCAUGCCGGUCGAAGAUACCAGGCCGCUGCGACUGUUUAUUAAAAACACAGCACUCUGCAAACACGAAAGUGGACGUAUAGGGUGUGACGCCUGCCCGGUGCCGGAAGGUUAAUUGAUGGGGUUAGCGCAAGCGAAGCUCUUGAUCGAAGCCCCGGUAAACGGCGGCCGUAACUAUAACGGUCCUAAGGUAGCGAAAUUCCUUGUCGGGUAAGUUCCGACCUGCACGAAUGGCGUAACGAUGGCGGCGCUGUCUCCACCCGAGACUCAGUGAAAUUGAAAUCGCUGUGAAGAUGCAGUGUAUCCGCGGCUAGACGGAAAGACCCCGUGAACCUUUACUAUAGCUUUGCACUGGACUUUGAAUUUGCUUGUGUAGGAUAGGUGGGAGGCUUUGAAGUGGGGACGCCAGUUCUCAUGGAGCCAUCCUUGAAAUACCACCCUGGCAACUUUGAGGUUCUAACUCAGGUCCGUUAUCCGGAUCGAGGACAGUGUAUGGUGGGUAGUUUGACUGGGGCGGUCUCCUCCCAAAGAGUAACGGAGGAGUACGAAGGUGCGCUCAGACCGGUCGGAAAUCGGUCGUAGAGUAUAAAGGCAAAAGCGCGCUUGACUGCGAGACAAACACGUCGAGCAGGUACGAAAGUAGGUCUUAGUGAUCCGGUGGUUCUGUAUGGAAGGGCCAUCGCUCAACGGAUAAAAGGUACUCCGGGGAUAACAGGCUGAUACCGCCCAAGAGUUCAUAUCGACGGCGGUGUUUGGCACCUCGAUGUC
This 2483-nucleotide ribosomal RNA is filed under the name feces metagenome. Its description in RNAcentral is "bacterial LSU rRNA". It matches the Rfam family "Bacterial large subunit ribosomal RNA", at positions 14 to 2533 of the family's 2925-position model. The record is from RNAcentral.